Molecule: ribosomal RNA, 253 nt
Filed under: uncultured bacterium
Lineage: Bacteria
Description: partial 16S ribosomal RNA
Rfam family: Bacterial small subunit ribosomal RNA
Source: RNAcentral
UACGUAGGGUGCGAGCGUUGUCCGGAAUUAUUGGGCGUAAAGAGCUUGUAGGCGGUUUGUCGCGUCUGCUGUGAAAAUCCGGGGCUCAACCCCGGACUUGCAGUGGGUACGGGCAGACUGGAGUGUGGUAGGGGAGACUGGAAUUCCUGGUGUAGCGGUGGAAUGCGCAGAUAUCAGGAGGAACACCGGUGGCGAAGGCGGGUCUCUGGGCCGAUACUGACGCUGAGACGCGAAAGCCAGGGGAGCGAACGGG